AGAGUUUGAUCAUGGCUCAGAUUGAACGCUGGCGGCAGGCCUAACACAUGCAAGUCGAGCGGUAGCACAGAGAGCUUGCUCUCGGGUGACGAGCGGCGGACGGGUGAGUAAUGUCUGGGAAACUGCCUGAUGGAGGGGGAUAACUACUGGAAACGGUAGCUAAUACCGCAUAACGUCGCAAGACCAAAGUGGGGGACCUUCGGGCCUCAUGCCAUCAGAUGUGCCCAGAUGGGAUUAGCUAGUAGGUGGGGUAACGGCUCACCUAGGCGACGAUCCCUAGCUGGUCUGAGAGGAUGACCAGCCACACUGGAACUGAGACACGGUCCAGACUCCUACGGGAGGCAGCAGUGGGGAAUAUUGCACAAUGGGCGCAAGCCUGAUGCAGCCAUGCCGCGUGUGUGAAGAAGGCCUUCGGGUUGUAAAGCACUUUCAGCGGGGAGGAAGGCGUUGAGGUUAAUAACCUUGUCGAUUGACGUUACCCGCAGAAGAAGCACCGGCUAACUCCGUGCCAGCAGCCGCGGUAAUACGGAGGGUGCAAGCGUUAAUCGGAAUUACUGGGCGUAAAGCGCACGCAGGCGGUCUGUCAAGUCGGAUGUGAAAUCCCCGGGCUCAACCUGGGAACUGCAUUCGAAACUGGCAGGCUAGAGUCUUGUAGAGGGGGGUAGAAUUCCAGGUGUAGCGGUGAAAUGCGUAGAGAUCUGGAGGAAUACCGGUGGCGAAGGCGGCCCCCUGGACAAAGACUGACGCUCAGGUGCGAAAGCGUGGGGAGCAAACAGGAUUAGAUACCCUGGUAGUCCACGCCGUAAACGAUGUCGAUUUGGAGGUUGUGCCCUUGAGGCGUGGCUUCCGGAGCUAACGCGUUAAAUCGACCGCCUGGGGAGUACGGCCGCAAGGUUAAAACUCAAAUGAAUUGACGGGGGCCCGCACAAGCGGUGGAGCAUGUGGUUUAAUUCGAUGCAACGCGAAGAACCUUACCUGGUCUUGACAUCCACAGAACUUAGCAGAGAUGCUUUGGUGCCUUCGGGAACUGUGAGACAGGUGCUGCAUGGCUGUCGUCAGCUCGUGUUGUGAAAUGUUGGGUUAAGUCCCGCAACGAGCGCAACCCUUAUCCUUUGUUGCCAGCGGUUAGGCCGGGAACUCAAAGGAGACUGCCAGUGAUAAACUGGAGGAAGGUGGGGAUGACGUCAAGUCAUCAUGGCCCUUACGACCAGGGCUACACACGUGCUACAAUGGCAUAUACAAAGAGAAGCGACCUCGCGAGAGCAAGCGGACCUCAUAAAGUAUGUCGUAGUCCGGAUUGGAGUCUGCAACUCGACUCCAUGAAGUCGGAAUCGCUAGUAAUCGUAGAUCAGAAUGCUACGGUGAAUACGUUCCCGGGCCUUGUACACACCGCCCGUCACACCAUGGGAGUGGGUUGCAAAAGAAGUAGGUAGCUUAACCUUCGGGAGGGCGCUUACCACUUUGUGAUUCAUGACUGGGGUGAAGUCGUAACAAGGUAACCGUAGGGGAACCUGCGGUUGGAUCACCU
Molecule: ribosomal RNA, 1528 nt
Filed under: Klebsiella pneumoniae BWH 2
Lineage: Bacteria; Pseudomonadati; Pseudomonadota; Gammaproteobacteria; Enterobacterales; Enterobacteriaceae
Description: bacterial SSU rRNA
Rfam family: Bacterial small subunit ribosomal RNA
Source: RNAcentral